Molecule: ribosomal RNA, 301 nt
Filed under: uncultured bacterium
Lineage: Bacteria
Description: partial 16S ribosomal RNA
Rfam family: Bacterial small subunit ribosomal RNA
Source: RNAcentral
CAGUAGCCACGGUAAUACGGAGGGAGCUAGCGUUGUUCGGAAUUACUGGGCGUAAAGCGCACGUAGGCGGCUUUGUAAGUUAGAGGUGAAAGCCUGGGGCUCAACUCCAGAAUUGCCUUUAAGACUGCAUCGCUUGAAUCAUGGAGAGGUGAGUGGAAUUCCGAGUGUAGAGGUGAAAUUCGUAGAUAUUCGGAAGAACACCAGUGGCGAAGGCGGCUCACUGGACUGGUAUUGACGCUGAGUUGCGAAAGCGUGGGGAGCAAACAGGAUUAGAUACCCGCGUAGUCCCUGUCUCUUAUAC